This 376-nucleotide ribosomal RNA is filed under the name Bacillus sp. (in: firmicutes). RNAcentral's name for it is "bacterial SSU rRNA". It matches the Rfam family "Bacterial small subunit ribosomal RNA", at positions 106 to 475 of the family's 1533-position model. Lineage: Bacteria; Bacillati; Bacillota; Bacilli; Caryophanales; Bacillaceae. The record is from RNAcentral.
UUGAGUCCACGUGGGUAACCUGCCUGUAAGACUGGGAUAACUCCGGGAAACCGGGGCUAAUACCGGAUAACUCAUUUCCUCGCAUGAGGAAAUGUUGAAAGGUGGCUUUUAGCUACCACUUACAGAUGGACCCGCGGCGCAUUAGCUAGUUGGUGAGGUAACGGCUCACCAAGGCGACGAUGCGUAGCCGACCUGAGAGGGUGAUCGGCCACACUGGGACUGAGACACGGCCCAGACUCCUACGGGAGGCAGCAGUAGGGAAUCUUCCGCAAUGGACGAAAGUCUGACGGAGCAACGCCGCGUGAGUGAUGAAGGUUUUCGGAUCGUAAAGCUCUGUUGUUAGGGAAAAACAAAGUGCCGGUUCGAAUAGGGCGGC